This 461-nucleotide ribosomal RNA is filed under the name uncultured bacterium. Its description in RNAcentral is "partial 16S ribosomal RNA". It matches the Rfam family "Bacterial small subunit ribosomal RNA", at positions 339 to 795 of the family's 1533-position model. The record is from RNAcentral.
CUACGGGGGGCAGCAGUGGGGAAUAUUGCACAAUGGGCGCAAGCCUGAUGCAGCCAUGCCGCGUGUAUGAAGAAGGCCUUCGGGUUGUAAAGUACUUUCAGCGGGGAGGAAGGGAGUAAAGUUAAUACCUUUGCUCAUUGACGUUACCCGCAGAAGAAGCACCGGCACUCCGUGCCAGCAGCCGCGGUAAUACGGAGGGUGCAAGCGUUAAUCGGAAUUACUGGGCGUAAAGCGCACGCAGGCGGUUGUUAAGUCAGAUGUGAAAUCCCCGGGCUCAACCUGGGAACUGCAUCUGAUACUGGCAAGCUUGAGUCUCGUAGAGGGGGGUAGAAUUCCAGGUGUAGCGGUGAAAUGCGUAGAGAUCUGGAGGAAUACCGGUGGCGAAGGCGGCCCCCUGGACGAAGACUGACGCUCAGGUGCGAAAGCGUGGGGAGCAAACAGGAUUAGAUACCCUAGUAGUC